UCCUGGCUCAGGAUGAACGCUAGCUACAGGCUUAACACAUGCAAGUCAGGGGAAACGACAUCGAAAGCUUGCUUUGAUCGGGCGUCGACCGGCGCACGGGUGAGUAACGCGUAUCCAACCUGCCCAUCACUUGGGGAUAACCUUGCGAAAGUAAGACUAAUACCCAAUGACGUCUCUAGAAGACAUCUGAAAGAGAUUAAAGAUUUAUCCGCUUUGAGAUGGCCUCGCGUCCGAUUAGCUAGUUGGUGAGGUAAUGGCCCACCAAGGCGACGAUCGGUAGCCGGACUGAGAGGUUGAACGGCCACAUUGGAACUGAGACACGGUCCAAACUCCUACGGGAGGCAGCAGUGAGGAAUAUUGGGUCAAUGGGCGAGAGCCUGAACCAGCCAAGUAGCGUGAAGGAUGACUGCCCUAUGGGUUGUAAACUUCUUUUAUAAAGGAAUAAAGUCGGGUAUGGAUACCCGUUUGCAUGUACUUUAUGAAUAAGGAUCGGCUAACUCCGUG
RNAcentral lists this ribosomal RNA (504 nucleotides) under uncultured bacterium. Its description in RNAcentral is "bacterial SSU rRNA". It matches the Rfam family "Bacterial small subunit ribosomal RNA", at positions 17 to 507 of the family's 1533-position model. The record is from RNAcentral.